CAGCAGCAGCCACGGUAAGACGGAGGGUGCUAGCGUUGUUCGGAAUCACUGGGCGUAAAGGGCGCGUAGGCGGCCUGUUAAGUCGGAUGUGAAAGCCCGGGGCUCAACCCCGGAACUGCAUCCGAGACUGGCAGGCUUGAGACCGGGAGAGGAGGGUGGAAUAUCCAGUGUAGAGGUGAAAUUCGUAGAUAUUGGAUGGAACACCGGUGGCGAAAGCGGCUCUCUGGCCCGGAUCUGACGCUGAGGCGCGAAAGCGUGGGGAGCAAACAGGAUUAGAUACCCCGGUAGUCCCUGUCUCUUAUAC
Molecule: ribosomal RNA, 304 nt
Filed under: uncultured bacterium
Lineage: Bacteria
Description: partial 16S ribosomal RNA
Rfam family: Bacterial small subunit ribosomal RNA
Source: RNAcentral